GAGUGUUGUCGGUCUUGAGCGGCCCGAUAUACUGUCAGUGUAGUAGCUGAUCUGAGAGAGGAAGAACAUCAGUUCAGUGAUUGCUUGGAUAUACUUAGGAGGCCGAACUCCUCUGACUUAUUGUUUAGACAUCGCAGUUGCAAGUUUAUCGUACAAGGGGAUAAUGCCGUGUCCAUUUUUGUCACGUCUACCUGGUCAAUUUCUUCGCAACUAUGGUGCUAGUCUAGUCCGCCAGUAUGGAGAGAUGUGUCCUGCUGUUUCUUGUUUCACGAGGAACUACAACUCGCUCCCCUCAGCCACCAACGCAGCAGAGGGGGAGAAGAAGUGCCCUUUUCCUGAACAACAAGAACUUGGUAAGAAAGCAACGUGAACCCAGGAA
Long non-coding RNA from Penaeus monodon (black tiger shrimp), 379 nucleotides. RefSeq lists it as uncharacterized. The transcript is spliced from 3 exons. Lineage: Eukaryota; Metazoa; Arthropoda; Malacostraca; Decapoda; Penaeidae. The record is from RefSeq and is a predicted model, not a curated record.